This 529-nucleotide ribosomal RNA is filed under the name Vibrio harveyi. Its description in RNAcentral is "bacterial SSU rRNA". It matches the Rfam family "Bacterial small subunit ribosomal RNA", at positions 342 to 860 of the family's 1533-position model. Lineage: Bacteria; Pseudomonadati; Pseudomonadota; Gammaproteobacteria; Vibrionales; Vibrionaceae. The record is from RNAcentral.
CGGGAGGCAGCAGUGGGGAAUAUUGCACAAUGGGCGCAAGCCUGAUGCAGCCAUGCCGCGUGUGUGARGAAGGCCUUCGGGUUGUAAAGCACUUUCAGUCGUGAGGAAGGURGUGURGUUAAUAGCUGCAUUAUUUGACGUUAGCGACAGAAGAAGCACCGGCUAACUCCGUGCCAGCAGCCGCGGUAAUACGGAGGGUGCGAGCGUUAAUCGGAAUUACUGGGCGUAAAGCGCAUGCAGGUGGUUUGUUAAGUCAGAUGUGAAAGCCCGGGGGCUCAACCUCGGAAUAGCAUUUGAAACUGGCAGACUAGAGUACUGUAGAGGGGGUAGAAWUUUCAGGUGUAGCGGUGAAAUGCGUAGAGAUCUGAAGGAAUACCGGUGGCGAAGSCGGCCCCCUGGACAGAUACUGACACUCAGAUGCGAAAGCGUGGGGGAGCAAACAGGAUUAGAUACCCUGGGUAGUCCACGCCGUAAACGAUGUCUACUUGGAGGUUGUGGCCUUGAGCCGUGGCUUUCGGAGCUAACGCGU